UGAUUGGUAGUAAGGGGAUUUGAACCCCCGUAUAUGAGGCUACAACUCACCGCCUGUCACUCGGCCACUCUACC
RNAcentral lists this transfer RNA (74 nucleotides) under Phelsuma sundbergi. Its description in RNAcentral is "tRNA-Tyr". The record is from RNAcentral. Lineage: Eukaryota; Metazoa; Chordata; Lepidosauria; Squamata; Gekkonidae.